This 882-nucleotide ribosomal RNA is filed under the name Exserohilum rostratum. Its description in RNAcentral is "partial 28S ribosomal RNA". It matches the Rfam family "Eukaryotic large subunit ribosomal RNA", at positions 35 to 935 of the family's 3401-position model. Lineage: Eukaryota; Fungi; Ascomycota; Dothideomycetes; Pleosporales; Pleosporaceae. The record is from RNAcentral.
UAAGCAUAUCAAUAAGCGGAGGAAAAGAAACCAACAGGGAUUGCCCUAGUAACGGCGAGUGAAGCGGCAACAGCUCAAAUUUGAAAUCUGGCUCUUUCAGAGUCCGAGUUGUAAUUUGCAGAGGGCGCUUUGGCUUUGGCAGCGGUCCAAGUUCCUUGGAACAGGACGUCACAGAGGGUGAGAAUCCCGUACGUGGUCGCUAGCUAUUGCCGUGUAAAGCCCCUUCGACGAGUCGAGUUGUUUGGGAAUGCAGCUCUAAAUGGGAGGUAAAUUUCUUCUAAAGCUAAAUAUUGGCCAGAGACCGAUAGCGCACAAGUAGAGUGAUCGAAAGAUGAAAAGCACUUUGGAAAGAGAGUCAAACAGCACGUGAAAUUGUUGAAAGGGAAGCGCUUGCAGCCAGACUUGCUUGCAGUUGCUCAUCCGGGCUUUUGCCCGGUGCACUCUUCUGCAGGCAGGCCAGCAUCAGUUUGGGCGGUGGGAUAAAGGUCUCUGUCAUGUACCUCUCUUCGGGGAGGCCUUAUAGGGGAGGCGACAUACCACCAGCCUAGACUGAGGUCCGCGCAUCUGCUAGGAUGCUGGCGUAAUGGCUGUAAGCGGCCCGUCUUGAAACACGGACCAAGGAGUCUAACAUCUAUGCGAGUGUUUGGGUGUCAAGCCCGAGCGCGUAAUGAAAGUGAACGGAGGUGGGAACCCGCAAGGGUGCACCAUCGACCGAUCCUGAAGUUUACGGAAGGAUUUGAGUAAGAGCAUGGCUGUUGGGACCCGAAAGAUGGUGAACUAUGCUUGAAUAGGGUGAAGCCAGAGGAAACUCUGGUGGAGGCUCGCAGCGGUUCUGACGUGCAAAUCGAUCGUCAAAUUUGGGCAUAGGGGCGAAAGACUAAU